This 616-nucleotide long non-coding RNA is filed under the name Chrysemys picta bellii (western painted turtle). RNAcentral describes it as "lncRNA (ENSCPBG00000008332.1)". Lineage: Eukaryota; Metazoa; Chordata; Testudines; Emydidae. The record is from RNAcentral.
ACACCUUUUUAUAUAUUUAACACCAUCAUAAAUGCUGGAGGCAAAGUGGGAUUUGGGGUGGAGGCUUACAGCUUGCGACCCCCUCAUGUAAUAACCUCAUGACCCCCUGAGGGGUUCCGAUCCCCAGUUUGAGAACCCCUUCUUUAGCCGCUUUCCCCCCAUGUUUAAAAAGAAUUCCUCAGCUCUUACUGAAUCGAUACACAGUAGUCUUUCUCCUCUUACUACAGGUCCUCCUCACAGACUUCACCCUAGGACUGCAAUCAAUCCAUCACCUUUGCUAUUUUUGUUACAUUGUUGCUGUUGAAUUUGGAAAAGUGGACAUGAAUACAUCUUAUAAAGGUAUGUAUCAUCAAAAAAACAAACACUCAUCAAUUCUAAUUCUAGUGCUGUCAUUCAUUUGUUAUCUGUCUUUAGGAAGUCACUUAAGUCAAAAUCUUUAAAAAUAUUGAGCACUCAUGGUGCCUAUAUAUAAAGUGAAACUCUAGCCUCUAUGUUUCUAAAACUAGGCACACAAAUUAAUGAAUGCUUUUGAGAAUUAUGGCCUUAACUUUUUUGUUCCUCAGUUUUUCAAUCUAUAAAAUGUACCUACCCUAUGAGGCUAUUGUCAGGAUUAGUU